UACGAAGGGGGCGAGCGUUGUUCGGAAUUACUGGGCGUAAAGGGCGCGCAGGCGGCUCUGAGAGUCAGAUGUGAAAGCCCCGGGCUUAACCUGGGAAUUGCAUUUGAUACUCUGGAGCUUGAGUACGGGAGAGGAGAGUGGAAUUCCCAGUGUAGAGGUGAAAUUCGUAGAUAUUGGGAAGAACACCGGUGGCGAAGGCGGCUCUCUGGACCGUAACUGACGCUGAGGCGCGAAAGCGUGGGGAGCAAACAGG
RNAcentral lists this ribosomal RNA (253 nucleotides) under uncultured bacterium. RNAcentral describes it as "partial 16S ribosomal RNA". It matches the Rfam family "Bacterial small subunit ribosomal RNA", at positions 524 to 776 of the family's 1533-position model. The record is from RNAcentral.